CCNGACCCGACUGCUAUCCGGAUGCGACUAAGCCAUGCUAGUCUAACGGAUCUUCGGAUCCGUGGCGUACCGCUCUGUAACACGUAGAUAACCUACCCUGAGGUCGGGGAAACUCCCGGGAAACUGGGCCUAAUCCCCGAUAGAUAAUUUGUACUGGAAUGUCUUUUUAUUGAAACCUCCGAGGCCUCAGGAUGGGUCUGCGCCAGAUUAUGGUCGUAGGUGGGGUAACGGCCCACCUAGCCUUUGAUCUGUACCGGACAUGAGAGUGUGUGCCGGGAGAUGGCCACUGAGACAAGGGGCCAGGCCCUACGGGGCGCAGCAGGCGCGAAAACUUCACAAUGCCCGCAAGGGUGAUGAGGGUAUCCGGAGUGCUACCUUAGCCGGUAGCUUUUAUUCAGUGUAAAUAGCUAGAUGAAUAAGGGGAGGGCAAGGCUGGUGCCAGCCGCCGCGGUAAAACCAGCUCCCCGAGUGGUCGGGAUUUUUAUUGGGCCUAAAGCGUCCGUAGCCUGGCGUGCAAGUCAUUGGUUAAAUAUCGGGUCUUAAGCCCGAACCUGCUAGUGAUACUACACGCCUUGGGACCGGAAGAGGCAAAUGGUACGUUGAGGGUAGGGGUGAAAUCCUGUAAUCCCCAACGGACCACCGGUGGCGAAGCUUGUUCAGUCAUGAACAACUCUACACAAGGCGAUUUGCUGGGACGGAUCCGACGGUGAGGGACGAAACCCAGGGGAGCGAGCGGGAUUAGAUACCCCGGUAGUCCUGGGCGUAAACGAUGCGAACUAGGUGUUGGCGGAGCCACGAGCUCUGUCGGUGCCGAAGCGAAGGCGUUAAGUUCGCCGCCAGGGGAGUACGGCCGCAAGGCUGAAACUUAAAGGAAUUGACGGGGGAGCACCACCAGGGGAGGAGCCUGCGGUUCAAUUGGACUCAACGCUUGAACCAUCUCCUAAACUAGUGGUCCCUGCGGGUUAUACGCCGGAAAUCUUACCGGAGUCGACAGCAUGAUGAAAGCCAGGCUGAAGACCUUGCUUGAAGCGCUGAGAGGAGGUGCAUGGCCGUCGCCAGCUCGUACCGUGAGGCGUCCUCUUAAGUGAGGCAACGAGCGAGACCCACACCUACAGUUGCCAGCACGAGGUGCCACCUUGGUGGGCACACUGUAGGGACUGCCCGCGAAAAGUGGGAGGAAGGUGUGGGCCACGGCAGGUCAGUAUGCCCCGAAAACUCCGGGCCACACGCGGGCUACAAUGGCUAGGACAGAGGGCUCCCGACUUCGAAAGAAGAAGGAAAUCCCUAAACCUAGUCUCAGUUGGGAUUGAGGGCUGCAACCCGCCCUCAUGAACGUGGAUUCCCUAGUAAUCGCGUGUCAUCUAUCGCGCGAUGAAUACGUCCCUGCUCCUUGUACACACCGCCCGUCGUUGCACCCGAGUUGGGUUUGCCUGAGGCUGCUUUUCCCUUCGGGGAGGCGCAUUCAAAGGUGAGUUCGAUGAGGGGGCAAAAGUCGUAACAAGGUAGCC
Molecule: ribosomal RNA, 1508 nt
Filed under: uncultured archaeon
Lineage: Archaea
Description: partial 16S ribosomal RNA
Rfam family: Archaeal small subunit ribosomal RNA
Source: RNAcentral